This 477-nucleotide ribosomal RNA is filed under the name uncultured bacterium. RNAcentral describes it as "partial 16S ribosomal RNA". It matches the Rfam family "Bacterial small subunit ribosomal RNA", at positions 28 to 523 of the family's 1533-position model. The record is from RNAcentral.
GAUGAACGCUGGCGGCGUGCUUAACACAUGCAAGUCGAACGAUUAAAGCCCCUUCGGGGGUGUAUAGAGUGGCGAACGGGUGAGUAACACGUGGGCAAUCUGCCCCUCACUUCGGGAUAACUCAGGGAAACCUGAGCUAAUACCGGAUACUCCGGGAUGGUCGCAUGGCCAACCCGGGAAAGUUCCGGCGGUGAGGGAUGAGCCCGCGGCCCAUUAGCUUGUUGGUGGGUAACGGCUCACCAAGGCGACGAUGGGUAGCCGGGCUGAGAGGCUGAUCGGCCAAACUGGGAAUGAGACACGGCCCAGACUCCUACGGGGGGCAGCAGUGGGGAAUCUUGCGCAAUGGGCGAAAGCCUGACGCAGCAACGCCGCGUGCGGGAUGAAGGCCUUCGGGUUGUAAACCGCUUUCAGCAGGGAUGAAAAUGACAGUACCUGCAGAAGAAGCCCCGGCUAACUACGUGCCAGCCGCCGCCGUAA